UACGAAGGGGGCUAGCGUUGCUCGGAAUCACUGGGCGUAAAGCGCACGUAGGCGGAUCUUUAAGUCGGGGGUGAAAUCCUGGAGCUCAACUCCAGAACUGCCUUUGAUACUGGCGAUCUUGAGUCCGGGAGAGGUGAGUGGAACUGCGAGUGUAGAGGUGAAAUUCGUAGAUAUUCGCAAGAACACCAGUGGCGAAGGCGGCUCACUGGCCCGAUACCUGACGCUGAGGUGCGAAAGCGUGGGGAGCAAACAGG
Molecule: ribosomal RNA, 254 nt
Filed under: uncultured bacterium
Lineage: Bacteria
Description: partial 16S ribosomal RNA
Rfam family: Bacterial small subunit ribosomal RNA
Source: RNAcentral